Orbicella faveolata is the source of this 2956-nucleotide long non-coding RNA. NCBI's taxonomy places the organism in Eukaryota, Metazoa, Cnidaria, Anthozoa, Scleractinia, Merulinidae. The record is from RefSeq and is a predicted model, not a curated record.
UACUUUUAACAGAGAGAUAGGGGCAUGUUUUUCCCCUGAGAUUUUUGACAUGCAGAAUGAAGCCUACGAUUGUAGUUUGAAAAGUCAAGAAUUGUCUUACAUUAUAAAGAGGGAUUACUAGAAGUCUCAGUAAAUCGGAUCCCGUUUGAGUCCGCCCGCUAAAGAUAAGUUCUCUAGAUGAAGACUAUGGACACUUGAACACGCAAUAGACCGGCAGAAUCCAGACUGGUCAGAAUCUAUCAGUCAAUACCGCGCGCAUUUCCUCGAUUCCCAAUCAUGAUCACAAUGGAACUUCUUUAAAAAAAUCCGAUUUAAAGGGAUCCUGACAUUGAACGAAAAAAAUGGAAGUCAUGCUUUUGCUUCUUCACUGACGGCAAGCAACACAAAGCGUGCGAACUUGACACGAUUAUCCUUAGAAAUCAUGAGAACCUUGAGUGUCCUUGACAUGAUUAUUGUAUAAUCUGCAGCUAGAUGACGUCACAGGCGCUGAUUUGUUCACUGUAAGCUUUCGGCCAAUCAGAAAAGAGAUAGUGAGUUCAAUGUAUAAUACUAUUAAAAACUGCACGGAACAUACGUUCGGUCCACCUUUAUGAAUUUCUUCACGUUAUCUGUCCUUGUUUCAUGUAAGAGAGAAGAUCGGGCUAGAGAGGAAUACUGGUUCUCACGUAGGUUUUCUCUCCAAAAAGAAGUGUAAUUUGAAAAUAUGAAGAGAGCAAAGCUGUGGUUGCAGAAGGAAAUUUUUCAGAGUAAUUCUAUUCCUAAGAGAUCAAGGUACUAAUGAGACAAAUGAGUCUAUGAACCAUGAGUCAUUAGUUAAUGCCAGUCUUUCAAGUAUAUGCUGUGUUACCAUUACCAUUAGUGGGAGUUAACUGUAAACAGGCCGGCCAACCUGGGCUAACCAGAGCGCUAUCUACUGAGCUAAACCGGAACACUGUCGAGGCUAACCGGAGCGCUGUUAAGACUAACCGAAAUACUAUUCAGGCUAACCAUAAUGCUAUUCAGGCUGGUAUGAUGGAAAAGACGAGGCAUAGGGUACCAGGGUUGGGGUGUCGGGGUGUCGGGUUGCCGGCCGGUAGCUGGGUAGCCGGGCUAGGGCUGGACUGCCGGGUGCCGGAAUCUAUGGAAAACAGGGGGUGCCGGGGUCUGUGGUAAACACGGCAACCCGUCACCCCGACCUCAGUACCCCGUACCCCGUGCCCCGCCUUUUUUACCAUGCCAUUCAGGCUCAACGAAGGUGCUUUUUUAGUUAACCGAAGUGUUAUCUAGGCUGGAAGGAUGGAGAACUUGGCUCCUAGUGCGUCAGGGUGUAACCAGGAUUCUUCAAAGGGGGGUCACACUGUGUCAAAGGGAUGGUGCACACCAGAUUGUCAUGUCGUUUUCGCCACCUUUUGUAGGUUGUUUACUUGAAAAAGGCUUACAAAAGGACGGGGGGUCACGGGCACCUCAGGACCCCCCUAGCUACCCCUCUGUAGUGCAUGCAACUAAAAUCAAACCUAUGGCUUGAAGUGCUAUUCAGGCAAACCAGAGAACUAUUUAAGCCAAGUGGAGUGCUACUCGGGCUAACUCAAGUGCUAUUCAGGUUAACGCAAGUGCAAUUAGACUAGUGACUUAAUGACUAAUGACUGAAGAAUCUUGAGACCUCUGUUCCCAUACUUGUGGAUUCCUAGAUCAGUGAUCCCAAUGCUCUAACUGAUGUAUCGAGCGUGGCUCGGUCAAUUUAAGUCAGUGCCACACUGUGUGACCUUGCCAGUAAUGUCAGUGACUAGGCUUCGUUUUACACCGACUUGUUAGAUGACUUAGAUCGCGAGGCAAUAGACAGCAUCUAUGCACAGUUUUCGGGGAAAAAAUGUCUCAGAACUUUUAGCAAGAGACUUGUUUUGAGGGAUGGUUUAUUCUAAUCCUUUUAAAGACAAUGCUUAGUAGAAUACAUCAAGAAUUCAAUGUAUCAACAAGAUUUUGGCGCUGAAUAGACUACCGUGUGGCACGACAUUUUUGCCAAAAUUUAACUUUGAGGAUCUGCGAUUUUUUUGCAGUUUGGGGAAACUAAUUUUUUGAAAGACUGGUUUUUCGAGCUUGGAAUCAAUUUUUGCGAUUUUCAGAAAAUCGCAUGUAUUUGAAAUACAACAUUUUCGGCGUUUUUCUCAGAUUAUACUGCUCGGUAAACCUUCAGACGAUCUCAUGUAGUUUAAUUAAGCCCGGCCUGGGUCAGGAAUGUAAAGCAGAGUUAUGGUUGGGCAGCUAUAUCUCAGUCUUGUCAUAUUUGUUUUACCAAGAUUAACUUUUCCCUGAUUAUAAAACUCGGCGGCCUGCCUUGCCUUUUAUUUGAUCACGUGACGUGUCACGUGAUCAAAUGAUAUGUUGUUAAAAUUUGGUAAAUCGGCGUAUUGGUGGCGAAUUUCAUUCUAUUGAUCAAUAAAUGGGCAUUUUCCAUGCAAAUUUAAAUUAUCUAGCUUGUUACCGUUGAAAAGAUCUUCCUUGAUUUCGUUUUGAAAAGAUAUAAAUGAUCAAAAGUCGAAUUUUAUUGAAAAACGACCUUUGACCCUAUCAAAUUUUUCGGCGAAAAGAGGGACAGUCAUUCCAAACGUGAGAGGACGGAAAUAGUUGAUCUGCAUCUAAAACGCGUUUUUGUUGGAUGAUAUUACUAAAAACCGCCAUCGAUUCCGCCAAUAGUGACCAUUUUCCGUUAAAAGUCACGUGACAUGUCACAUGACCAGUCAGAAGCACCAGUUCUACUUUAAAAUGUUCAGGACGUUAAAACCUAACUGCGUGCUAAAUUUGAUUCCAUUGCCAUUUGUGCCUUCAGAAAUAUAAUAAAUUAUUUUUAUUAGUAAAAGCCUUCGAAUGUGGUCCAGGCUUUAAACACGAAGGCGCGGUAUAAAAAGACAGUAUUCUACAAUACCCACUGGGAUCAGACUUGACAUUACAAGUACAGUUGAACCCAUUCUCGUCACCAGAG